RNAcentral lists this non-coding RNA (22 nucleotides) under Arabidopsis thaliana (thale cress). Lineage: Eukaryota; Viridiplantae; Streptophyta; Magnoliopsida; Brassicales; Brassicaceae. The record is from RNAcentral.
AGUCAACGGGUGAGUAAACCCG